This 486-nucleotide ribosomal RNA is filed under the name uncultured bacterium. Its description in RNAcentral is "bacterial SSU rRNA". It matches the Rfam family "Bacterial small subunit ribosomal RNA", at positions 28 to 507 of the family's 1533-position model. The record is from RNAcentral.
GAUGAACGCUAGCGGGAGGCUUAACACAUGCAAGUCGAGGGGCAGCACGUCCGAGUAAUCGGGAUGGUGGCGACCGGCGCACGGGUGAGUAACGCGUAUGUAACCUGUCCUUAACAGGAGGAUAACCCGGAGAAAUUCGGACUAAUACUGCAUAAAAUUAUAAAUAGGCAUCUAUUAAUAAUUAAAGCUACGGCGGUAAAGGAGGGGCAUGCGUAACAUUAGCUAGUUGGGAGGGUAACGGCCUACCAAGGCAAUGAUGUUUAGGGGACCUGAGAGGGUGACCCCCCACACUGGUACUGAGACACGGACCAGACUCCUACGGGAGGCAGCAGUGAGGAAUAUUGGUCAAUGGGCGGCAGCCUGAACCAGCCAUCCCGCGUGAAGGAAGAAUGCGCUAUGCGUUGUAAACUUCUUUUCAGGGGGAUAAAAUUUUGUAUGUAUACAGAACUGAAGGUACCCUGAGAAUAAGCAUCGGCUAACUCCGUG